Molecule: transfer RNA, 69 nt
Filed under: Cephalopachus bancanus (Horsfield's tarsier)
Lineage: Eukaryota; Metazoa; Chordata; Mammalia; Primates; Tarsiidae
Description: tRNA-Asp
Source: RNAcentral
AAAAUACUAGUAAAACCAUUACAUAACUUUGUCAAAGUUAAAUUACAGACUAAACCCCUGUGUAUUUUC